RNAcentral lists this ribosomal RNA (253 nucleotides) under uncultured bacterium. RNAcentral's name for it is "partial 16S ribosomal RNA". It matches the Rfam family "Bacterial small subunit ribosomal RNA", at positions 524 to 776 of the family's 1533-position model. The record is from RNAcentral.
UACAGAGGUCUCAAGCGUUGUUCGGAUUCAUUGGGCGUAAAGGGUGUGUAGGUGGCGCCGUAAGUCGGGUGUGAAAUUUCGAGGCUUAACCUCGAAACUGCAUUCGAUACUGCGGUGCUAGAGUACUGGAGAGGAGAUUGGAAUUCACGGUGUAGCAGUGAAAUGCGUAGAUAUCGUGAGGAAGACCAGUGGCGAAGGCGGAUCUCUGGACAGUUACUGACACUGAGGCACGAAGGCCAGGGGAGCAAACGGG